GGCCUAAUGGUCUAGAAGUAUGAUUCUUCCUUCGGGUGAUACCCAGAUUUAUCGAAAUCUGCAUGGAAGAGGUCCUGGGUUCAAUUCCCAGUUAGGCCC
Non-coding RNA from Sphaerobolus stellatus SS14, 99 nucleotides. The record is from the annotation of a GenBank genome assembly. Lineage: Eukaryota; Fungi; Basidiomycota; Agaricomycetes; Geastrales; Sphaerobolaceae.